GAUGCUGCUGCUGCUGCG
Molecule: microRNA, 18 nt
Filed under: Macrophomina phaseolina MS6
Lineage: Eukaryota; Fungi; Ascomycota; Dothideomycetes; Botryosphaeriales; Botryosphaeriaceae
Description: miR-1322
Source: RNAcentral